Molecule: long non-coding RNA, 874 nt
Filed under: Marmota monax (woodchuck)
Lineage: Eukaryota; Metazoa; Chordata; Mammalia; Rodentia; Sciuridae
Source: RNAcentral
CCUAAUGAUUGUUUUAAUAGUUCUUUAUACUUUACAGACCUUUCCUUUAACGCUGGGCAUGUUUUUGUUUUUUCACCAUCAUAAGUAAUAAUGAUGAACAUUCUUGUUAAAUCUUCAUGUAAAGGGGAAGUAACAACCAAAGACCAAGUACACUAAUAACUUAGAGACUAGAAGUUCAUCCACAAUUGUUCAGAUAGAUUCAGAAAAGGUUGAUUAUGUUCUAGUAAGACCUCCCAAAUGGAAUUUGAACUGGGUCUUGAUGGAAGAUGCUUAGGCAGGCAGGAUGAGUAAGAUUGGACAGGAUGAAAUGAAACUUGAGGCAGGAUCAGAGUGUAGGCAGAUUUGUCAAAAUCUGCUGAAGCACUUUGCAAAACAGCCAGGGAAGAGAUGAAAAGGAAAGUUGUUAGGGUGUUGAAUCAUUGUGUGGGAGACUCUCAGGGAGUGUAUGUUUUAGAUAUAAAAAGUAAAGGUUAUUGAGAGAUAUGACUGAGCGACGGUGUUGGAGGAGGUAGUGAGAAAUAAUCACCAUGCUUUGAUGCCUUUCUCUUUUUUAUGUUGAGGGUAGUUGGAAAAAGAGAGGUCAAGCAGUUUCGGUGAGAGGAGUUUGCAGAGGAAAAGUUAUUUUGGGGGAAAUCUAGGUUGCAUUUUGGGUGAGGUGAAAGGAGACUAGAAAAGGUAGAGGAAAAGAAGGGAUUUGGGCUGUUUUUCACAGAUGGAGUGUGGGUUCCAGAGGGUUCUUGAUGUUCUCUGAGUUUUCUCUAGUCCUAAAAGGUCUAGGCAGAUAAAGAUGAAAGAUUAAGUAUACUUCUAGGGUUGUGGUAAUGGUGAGGCUUCCAAGAGCUCAAAAACUUUUGAUACGGGCUGGGGAUGUGGC